This 491-nucleotide ribosomal RNA is filed under the name uncultured bacterium. RNAcentral describes it as "partial 16S ribosomal RNA". It matches the Rfam family "Bacterial small subunit ribosomal RNA", at positions 30 to 506 of the family's 1533-position model. The record is from RNAcentral.
AGUGAACGCUGGCGGUAGGCCUAACACAUGCAAGUCGAACGGCAGCACAGUAAGAGCUUGCUCUUACGGGUGGCGAGUCGCGGACGGGUGAGGAAUACAUCGGAAUCUACUUUUUCGUGGGGGAUAACGUAGGGAAACUUACGCUAAUACCGCAUACGACCUACGGGUGAAAGCAGGGGAUCUUCGCACCUUGCGCGAUUGAACUCGCCGGUGUCGGAUUAGCUAGUUGGCGGGGUAAAGGCCCACCGAGGCGCCGAUCCGUAGCUGGUGUGAGAGGAUGGACCGCCACUGUGGAAGUGAGACACGGCACAGAGACCGAGGGGAGGCAGAGGCGGGGAAGAGAGGAAGAAGGGCGCAAGACUGAACCAGGCAUAGCGCGUGGGUGAAGAAGGCCUUCGGGUUGUAAAACGCUUUUGUGGGGAAAGAAAAGCAGCAGGUGAAUACAAGGGUGUGCUGAGGGAACCCAAAGAAUAAGCACCGGCAAACAUCGG